UAGACUUUGAUCCUGGCUCAGAUUGAACGCUGGCGGCAGGCCUAACACAUGCAAGUCGAGCGGCAGCGGGAAAGUAGCUUGCUACUUUUGCCGGCGAGCGGCGGACGGGUGAGUAAUGCCUGGGGAUCUGCCCAGUCGAGGGGGAUAACUACUGGAAACGGUAGCUAAUACCGCAUACGCCCUACGGGGGAAAGCAGGGGACCUUCGGGCCUUGCGCGAUUGGAUGAACCCAGGUGGGAUUAGCUAGUUGGUGAGGUAAUGGCUCACCAAGGCGACGAUCCCUAGCUGGUCUGAGAGGAUGAUCAACCACACUGGAACCGGAGACACGGUCCAGACUCCUACGGGAGGCAGCAUUGGGGAAUAUUGCACAAUGGGGGAAACCCUGAUGCAGCCAUGCCGCGUGUGUGAAGAAGGCCUUCGGGUUGUAAAGCACUUUCAGCGAGGAGGAAAGGUUGGUAGCUAAUAACUUCCAGCUGUGACGUUACUCGCAGAAGAAGCACCGGCUAACUCCGUGCCAGCAGCCGCGGUAAUACGGAGGGUGCAAGCGUUAAUCGGAAUUACUGGGCGUAAAGCGCACGCAGGCGGUUGGAUAAGUUAGAUGUGAAAGCCCCGGGCUCAACCUGGGAAUUGCAUUUAAAACUGUCCGGCUAGAGUCUUGUAGAGGGGGGUAGAAUUCCAGGUGUAGCGGUGAAAUGCGUAGAGAUCUGGAGGAAUACCGGUGGCGAAGGCGGCCCCCUGGACAAAGACUGACGCUCAGGUGCGACAGCGUGGGGAGCAAACAGG
RNAcentral lists this ribosomal RNA (783 nucleotides) under uncultured bacterium. RNAcentral describes it as "bacterial SSU rRNA". It matches the Rfam family "Bacterial small subunit ribosomal RNA", at positions 1 to 776 of the family's 1533-position model. The record is from RNAcentral.